Molecule: ribosomal RNA, 484 nt
Filed under: uncultured bacterium
Lineage: Bacteria
Description: partial 16S ribosomal RNA
Rfam family: Bacterial small subunit ribosomal RNA
Source: RNAcentral
AUUGAACGCUGGCGGCAGGCCUAACACAUGCAAGUCGAGCGGAUGAAGGGAGCUUGCUUCUGGAUUCAGCGGCGGACGGGUGAGUAAUGCCUAGGAAUCUGCCUGGCAGCGGGGGAUAACGGCCGGAAACGGGCGCUAAUACCGCAUACGUCCUGAGGGAGAAAGGGGGGGAGCCUCGGACCUUACGCUAUCAGAUGAGCCUAGGUCGGAUUAGCUAGUUGGUGGGGUAAAGGCCUACCAAGGCGACAAUCCGUAACUGGUCUGAGAGGAUGAGCAGUCACACUGGAACUGAGACACGGUCCAGACUCCUACGGGAGGCAGCAGUGGGGAAUAUUGGACAAUGGGCGCAAGCCUGAUCCAGCCAUGCCGCGUGUGUGAAGAAGGUCUUCGGAUUGUAAAGCACUUUAGGUUGGGAGGAAGGGCAGUAAGUUAAUACCUUGCUGUUUUGACGUUACCAACAGAAUAAGCACCGGCUAACUUCGUG